RNAcentral lists this ribosomal RNA (499 nucleotides) under uncultured bacterium. Its description in RNAcentral is "bacterial SSU rRNA". It matches the Rfam family "Bacterial small subunit ribosomal RNA", at positions 28 to 520 of the family's 1533-position model. The record is from RNAcentral.
GAUGAACGCUAGCUACAGGCUUAACACAUGCAAGUCGAGGGGCAUCACAGUGUAGCAAUACACGGGUGGCGACCGGCGCACGGGUGCGUAACACGUAUCCAAUCUGCCCGUUACUCGGGGAUAGCCUUCUGAAAGGAAGAUUAAUACCCGAUGGCAUGUAUUUCCGGCAUCGGAGAUACAUUAAAGAUUUAUCGGUAACGGAUGAGGAUGCGUACGAUUAGCUGGUUGGCGGGGUAACGGCCCACCAAGGCUACGAUCGUUAGGGGUUCUGAGAGGAAGGUCCCCCANACUGGAACUGAGACACGGUCCAGACUCCUACGGGAGGCAGCAGUGAGGAAUAUUGGUCAAUGGGCGAGAGCCUGAACCAGCCAAGUCGCGUGAAGGAUGAAGGAUCUAUGGCUUGUAAACUUCUUUUAUACGGGAAUAAAGUGUGGUACGUGUACCAUUUUGUAUGUACCGUAUGAAUAAGCAUCGGCUAACUCCGUGCCAGCAGCCGCGG